UACGAAGGGUGCAAACGUUGCUCGGAAUCAUUGGGCGUAAAGCGCACGUAGGCGGCCUUGUAAGUCGGAUGUGAAAUCCCUCGGCUCAACCGAGGAAGUGCAUCCGAAACUGCGAGGCUCGAGUAUGGAAGAGGGUCGCAGAAUUCCCGGUGUAGAGGUGAAAUUCGUAGAUAUCGGGAGGAAUACCAGUGGCGAAGGCGGCGACCUGGGCCAAUACUGACGCUGAGGUGCGAAAGCGUGGGGAGCAAACAGG
RNAcentral lists this ribosomal RNA (253 nucleotides) under uncultured bacterium. RNAcentral describes it as "partial 16S ribosomal RNA". It matches the Rfam family "Bacterial small subunit ribosomal RNA", at positions 524 to 776 of the family's 1533-position model. The record is from RNAcentral.